UAGUUUCUCCGCUCGCUCCCUCAGGUU
This 27-nucleotide non-coding RNA is filed under the name Homo sapiens (human). Lineage: Eukaryota; Metazoa; Chordata; Mammalia; Primates; Hominidae. The record is from RNAcentral.